This 137-nucleotide microRNA precursor is filed under the name Mus pahari (shrew mouse). RNAcentral's name for it is "microRNA 8091 (MGP_PahariEiJ_G0006629.1)". Lineage: Eukaryota; Metazoa; Chordata; Mammalia; Rodentia; Muridae. The record is from RNAcentral.
UGGAGAUUUCCUUGUAAGGUGCUUGGGUUAGGUUAGGGGGAGGAGUGAGUGGUAAGUUGGUGGGAUGCUUCUGGUUCCCACCAGUUUAUAGUUCAUUCCACUACUUUUCUGGUGGUUUUCAGUUUUCAAAGUUCACU